This 468-nucleotide ribosomal RNA is filed under the name uncultured bacterium. RNAcentral describes it as "partial 16S ribosomal RNA". It matches the Rfam family "Bacterial small subunit ribosomal RNA", at positions 28 to 507 of the family's 1533-position model. The record is from RNAcentral.
GACGAACGCUGGCGGUGUGCUUAACACAUGCAAGUCGAACGGUAAGGCCCUUUCGGGGGUACACGAGUGGCGAGCGGGUGAGUAACACGUGAGUAACCUGCCCUCAUCUCUGGGAUAACAGUCGGAAACGGUUGCUAAUACUGGAUAUGAGCUUGCAAGGCAUCUUGUGGGUUGGAAAGAUUUUUUUUGGUUGGGGAUGGACUCGCGGCCUAUCAGCUUGUUGGUGAGGUAGUGGCUCACCAAGGCUUCGACGGGUAGCCGGCCUGAGAGGGCGACCGGCCACAUUGGGACUGAGAUACGGCCCAAACUCCUACGGGAGGCAGCAGUGGGGAAUAUUGCACAAUGGACGGAAGUCUGAUGCAGCAACGCCGCGUGCGGGAUGACGGCCUUCGGGUUGUAAACCGCUUUCAAUUGUGACGAAGCUUUUUUGUGACGGUAGCAGUAGAAGAAGCACCGGCUAACUACGUG